RNAcentral lists this unclassified non-coding RNA (284 nucleotides) under Hevea brasiliensis (rubber tree). Lineage: Eukaryota; Viridiplantae; Streptophyta; Magnoliopsida; Malpighiales; Euphorbiaceae. The record is from RNAcentral.
CAUUUUACCUUUUCUUUCUCCCAUUGUACACCAUUCGAUUCGCUUCCUCCCGGUACUGUCGUUUCCUCAAUUUUGAAUUUUGCAAAUCACCACCUCCUUGAGGGGUCCCACUCCUGACUCCGGCUAUCUUCGCCGGCCAUCAUACCAGAUCGACCUUUCUGUUGAGAAAUUGCAAGCAUGAGUGAAGUAUUUGAAGGAUACGAGCGUCAAUACUGCGAGCUCUCCGCAAAUCUUUCCAGGAAGUGUACCGCAGCCGGUGCUCUUGAUGGAGAGCAAAAGAAGCA